GGGACGUUAGCUCAGUUGGUCAGAGCAGGGGACUCAUAAUCCCUUGGUCGUUGGUUCAAGUCCAACACGUCCUACCA
Molecule: transfer RNA, 77 nt
Filed under: Comamonas serinivorans
Lineage: Bacteria; Pseudomonadati; Pseudomonadota; Betaproteobacteria; Burkholderiales; Comamonadaceae
Description: tRNA-Met
Rfam family: tRNA
About the family: Transfer RNA (tRNA) molecules are approximately 80 nucleotides in length. Their secondary structure includes four short double-helical elements and three loops (D, anti-codon, and T loops).
Source: RNAcentral